This 264-nucleotide ribosomal RNA is filed under the name uncultured bacterium. RNAcentral describes it as "partial 16S ribosomal RNA". It matches the Rfam family "Bacterial small subunit ribosomal RNA", at positions 793 to 1055 of the family's 1533-position model. The record is from RNAcentral.
GUCCUGGCUGUAAACGAUGGGCACUUGGUGUUGCGGGUAUCGACCCCUGCAGUGCCGAAGCUAACGCAUUAAGUGCCCCGCCUGGGGAGUACGGUCGCAAGGCUGAAAACUCAAAGGAAUUGACGGGGGCCCGCACAAGCGGUGGAGCAUGUGGUUCAAUUCGACGCAACGCGAAAAACCUUACCUGGGUUUGAACUGCGGUGUACCGCUCCAGAGAUGGAGCUUCCCUUCGGGGCUGCCGUGGAGGUGCUUCAUGGCUGUCGU